This is a regulatory RNA element of Strongyloides ratti, 45 nucleotides long. It matches the Rfam family "Histone 3' UTR stem-loop". Rfam says of the family: The mRNAs of metazoan histone genes lack a poly-A tail. 3' end processing occurs at a site between a highly conserved stem-loop (modelled by this family) and a purine rich region around 20 nts downstream (the histone downstream element, or HDE). NCBI's taxonomy places the organism in Eukaryota, Metazoa, Nematoda, Chromadorea, Rhabditida, Strongyloididae. The record is from Rfam.
CCAAAGGCCCUCUUUAGGGCCACCAAUUAAUACUUUUUUAUUUUA